CCUACGGGAGGCAGCAGUAGGGAAUCUUCCACAAUGGGCGCAAGCCUGAUGGAGCAAUGCCGCGUGUGUGAAGACGGUCUUCGGAUCGUAAAACCCUGUUGUUAGGGACGAAAGUGCGUGAGAGUAACUGUUCACGUUCCGACGGUAUCUAACCAGAAAGCAACGGCUAACUACGUGCCAGCAGCCGCGGUAAUACGUAGGUGGCAAGCGUUAUCCGGAUUUACUGGGCGUAAAGGGUAUGCAGGCGGUCGUUUAAGUCUGAUGUGAAAGCCUUGGGCUUAACCGGAGUAGUGCAUAGGAAACUGGGAGACUAGAGUGCGUAAGAGGGGAGUGGAACUCCACGUGUAGCAGUGAAAUGCGUAGAUAUAUGGAAGAACACCAGUGGCGAAGGCGGCCCUCUGGUCUGUAACUGACGCUGAGGUUCGAAAGCGUGGGUAGCAAACAGGAUUAGAUACCCUAGUAGUC
This 465-nucleotide ribosomal RNA is filed under the name uncultured bacterium. Its description in RNAcentral is "partial 16S ribosomal RNA". It matches the Rfam family "Bacterial small subunit ribosomal RNA", at positions 338 to 795 of the family's 1533-position model. The record is from RNAcentral.